Long non-coding RNA from Salvelinus fontinalis (brook trout), 610 nucleotides. RefSeq lists it as uncharacterized. The record is from RefSeq and is a predicted model, not a curated record. NCBI's taxonomy places the organism in Eukaryota, Metazoa, Chordata, Actinopteri, Salmoniformes, Salmonidae. The transcript is spliced from 3 exons.
GUGACUGUGGAGUGACAAAGUGGCUUUAACUCUCUGGUUUCUAGGCAACGUUUUGCUCUCUGGAAAAAUGGCUCCUGCGUACGCGGUUCAAGACACCAUGCUGUUUCUUCUGUGGACUGGACCUAUGCAGCAGACAGACUUGUGUGAAUACUGUGGCAAAAGCCAUAGCUCUUCAAGACUUAAAGUAAUGGAGCAAGUGUGUUUCCGGUGUCCUGGAACGCACCCUGUCUGGUUGCCGGGCGAAUUAGCUUGUUGGGAGAUCGAUGUUCACCCGCACCUGUAUCCCAUCAGUAAUCUGCACACCUGUCCUGAUCAUCACCUCUCCCCUUCAAAAGCUCUGACCUGACAUCCAUUCCCUGCUGGAUCGUUAGCCAAGAACACCAUUCACCCGGAACCCAUACCCCAUCCCUGUCUGCUCGUCGCCAGUGUGUUGUUAUCCAUUGGAUCUGCCUAUCCACUCCCAUCGAUCCACCUCCGCUGUCCGCUCCUCCACCCGGAACUAUCUACCUCCACAUUCUCAUUGAUUAAUAAAUACUCACCAUCUUUUUACUCACCUUGUCCUGGUCUGCUUCUGGGUCCAAUUCUGGUAAACCCUGACAGCUAUGCUUAA